AGGUGAGUAGCUCAACUGGUAGAGCACUGGUCUCCAAAACCAGCGGUUGCGGGUUCAAGUCCUGCCUCACCUGCCA
Molecule: transfer RNA, 76 nt
Filed under: Candidatus Zhuqueibacterota bacterium
Lineage: Bacteria; Pseudomonadati
Also listed under: 1 other name
Description: tRNA-Trp
Rfam family: tRNA
About the family: Transfer RNA (tRNA) molecules are approximately 80 nucleotides in length. Their secondary structure includes four short double-helical elements and three loops (D, anti-codon, and T loops).
Source: RNAcentral